UACGUAGGUCCCGAACGUUGCUCGAAAUUACUGGGCGUAAAGGGUCCGUAGGCGGUUUAGCAAGUGGGUGGUGAAAUUUCACGGCUCAACCGUGGAACUGCCUUUCAAACUGCUAAACUUGAGGCAGGGAGAGGGCGGCGGAAGUCCCGGUGUAGCGGUGAAAUGCGUAGAUAUCGGGAGGAACACCAGUGGCGAAGGCGGCCGACUGGGACUGUCCUGACGCUGAGGGACGAAAGCGAGGGGAGCAAACCGG
This 253-nucleotide ribosomal RNA is filed under the name uncultured bacterium. RNAcentral's name for it is "partial 16S ribosomal RNA". It matches the Rfam family "Bacterial small subunit ribosomal RNA", at positions 524 to 776 of the family's 1533-position model. The record is from RNAcentral.